Molecule: ribosomal RNA, 282 nt
Filed under: uncultured soil bacterium
Lineage: Bacteria
Description: partial 16S ribosomal RNA
Rfam family: Bacterial small subunit ribosomal RNA
Source: RNAcentral
AGGACAAACGCUGGCGGCGUGUAUUAGGCAUGCAAGUCGCACGAGCCUUCGGGCUAGUGGCGGACGGGUGAGUAACACGUGGAUAACCUGCCUCGUAGUGGGGAAUAACUCGUCGAAAGACGAGCUAAUACCGCAUAAGAUCAUCGGUGUGACUCCGAAUGAUGAAAGCUCCGGCGCUAUGAGAGGGGUCCGCGGCCGAUUAGCUAGUUGGUGGGUAAUGGCUCACCAAGGCGACGAUCGGUAGCUGGUCUGAGAGGAUGGUCAGCCACACGGGGACUGAGA